GCCAGACAUGCUGUCUAAAAUCAAGCCUUUUGGGUUUUUUUGGUUUUUUUACAUCUCAGAGUUUUCUUUCAUUUCCUCACACAGAAGCACAUUACGCUGGAUUAUGGACUAAGUCAGGAAGAUAUUUAAAGCAGGUGUAUCAAGAACCUUUCUUCAGUCCAAGCCUCUUCCAAAAUUCCCAGGAUAAGAACUGUUCUGUUUGCAUCAGGUACCUACACCAGCACUAAUCAACUGUAGAGAUAAAGCCAUGUCACAAGGAAGGAAAAAGGCAGUACAUUCAAGCUAACAGAAUGGGGAAAAGGGACAUCCCAGAAAAUGGGUCCCAUCCACAUGGCUGCUACCAGGGAAGGUCAAGAAUGUCUUCUCCUGUGAAUGGAUAAAAAAGCUGUGGUAUAUAUACACAAUGGAAUAUUCUGCAGCCAUCAAAAGGAAUGAGAUCUUGCCAUUUGCAACGACGUGGAUGGAACUGGA
Molecule: long non-coding RNA, 471 nt
Organism: Zalophus californianus (California sea lion)
Lineage: Eukaryota; Metazoa; Chordata; Mammalia; Carnivora; Otariidae
Exons: 4
Source: RefSeq, a predicted model, not a curated record